UACGUAGGGUGCAAGCGUUGUCCGGAAUUAUUGGGCGUAAAGAGCUCGUAGGCGGUCUGUCGCGCGGCUGUGAAAACUCGGGGCUCAACCCCGAGCCUGCAGUCGAUACGGGCAGACUAGAGUGCUGUAGGGGGAGACUGGAAUUCCUGGUGUAGCGGUGAAAUGCGCAGAUAUCAGGAGGAACACCCAUGGCGAAGGCAGCAAACUGGGCCACAUCUGACGCUGAGGCGCGAAAAGCGUGGGGUAGCAAAACAGGG
This 257-nucleotide ribosomal RNA is filed under the name uncultured bacterium. RNAcentral's name for it is "partial 16S ribosomal RNA". It matches the Rfam family "Bacterial small subunit ribosomal RNA", at positions 524 to 777 of the family's 1533-position model. The record is from RNAcentral.